This 404-nucleotide ribosomal RNA is filed under the name Acidobacteriota bacterium. RNAcentral describes it as "Acidobacteria bacterium partial 16S ribosomal RNA". It matches the Rfam family "Bacterial small subunit ribosomal RNA", at positions 355 to 776 of the family's 1533-position model. Lineage: Bacteria; Pseudomonadati; Acidobacteriota. The record is from RNAcentral.
UGGGGAAUAUUGCACAAUGGGGGAAACCCUGAUGCAGCGACGCCGCGUGAAGGAAGAAGUAUCUCGGUAUGUAAACUUCUAUCAGCAGGGAAGAUAGUGACGGUACCUGACUAAGAAGCCCCGGCUAACUACGUGCCAGCAGCCGCGGUAAUACGUAGGGGGCAAGCGUUAUCCGGAUUUACUGGGUGUAAAGGGAGCGUAGACGGCGUGGCAAGUCUGAUGUGAAAGGCAUGGGCUCAACCUGUGGACUGCAUUGGAAACUGCCAUACUUGAGUGCCGGAGGGGUAAGCGGAAUUCCUAGUGUAGCGGUGAAAUGCGUAGAUAUUAGGAGGAACACCAGUGGCGAAGGCGGCUUACUGGACGGUAACUGACGUUGAGGCUCGAAAGCGUGGGGAGCAAACAGG